CAGAACAGCAUAACAAUGCUAGUAGAUGAGGAUUCAUCACCAGUGAGAGAGGAGCAGAAUGUAGAAUGAGAGGCAGGACAUCUCUCCAGGUUAUACUUCAGCUAGUUGGGGGGCAGUAUUCAGAACAGCAUAACAAUGCUAGUAGAUGAGGAUUCAUCACCAGUGAGAGAGGAGCAGGAUAUAGAAUGAGAGGCAGGACAUCUCUCCAGGUUAUACUUCAGCUAGUUGGGGGGCAGUAUUCAGAACAGCAUAACAAUGCUAGUAGAUGAGGAUUCAUCACCAGUGAGAGAGGAGCAGGAUAUAGAAUGAGAGGCAGGACAUCUCUCCAGGUUAUACUUCAGCUAGUUGGGGGGCAGUAUUCAGAACAGCAUAACAAUGCUAGUAGAUGAGGAUUUAUCACCAGUGAGAGAGGAGCAGAAUGUAGAAUGAGAGGCAGGACAUCUCUCCAGGUUAUACUUCAGCUAGUUGGGGGGCAGUAUUCAGAACAGCAUAACAAUGCUAGUAGAUGAGGAUUCAUCACCAGUGAGAGAGGAGCAGGAUAUAGAAUGAGAGGCAGGACAUCUCUCCAGGUUAUACUUCAGCUAGUUGGGGGGCAGUAUUCAGAACAGCAUAACAAUGCUAGUAGAUGAGGAUUCAUCACCAGUGAGAGAGGAGCAGAAUGUAGAAUGAGAGGCAGGACAUCUCUCCAGGUUAUACUUCAGCUAGUUGGGGGGCAGUAUUCAGAACAGCAUAACAAUGCUAGUAGAUGAGGAUUCAUCACCAGUGAGAGAGGAGCAGGAUAUAGAAUGAGAGGCAGGACAUCUCUCCAGGUUAUACUUCAGCUAGUUGGGGGGCAGUAUUCAGAACAGCAUAACAAUGCUAGUAGAUGAGGAUUCAUCACCAGUGAGAGAGGAGCAGGAUAUAGAAUGAGAGGCAGGACAUCUCUCCAGGUUAUACUUCAGCUAGUUGGGGGGGCAGUAUUCAGAACAGCAUAACAAUGAUCAAAUAUGUACAAGAAGAAUAACAGGAAUGGAUGUCCCAUAGGGAACAGCAUCAGGUAUUAGUGGCGUCAUCAUAACGUGACCAUUGAUUAUGCCUGGAGCUUUUGUUUUUAGCAUAGCACCUGAGGUUGUAGUGACUUUAUGUGUGAGUGUGGUGUUACACAUGAGAGUUCCCACAGUAACUGCUCUGACUCAUGUACUAAUACUAUACACUGUUCAGGUUGGGUGUCCUGAGGUUCGGAGACUGAGUUAGUCUAUUGAUUUGUCUGCUGUAUCAGUUGGUCUCCUGAGUGUUGCUCUCUGUGUUAAAUCUCUCUGCCAGGAGGCUGGGGAUCAAUGGAUGUAUUAAAGGCCUAUUGGUUAGGACCGGAUCAUUGGAGAAAUGUCUCACUUUUCCUGCCGAUAGACAAAUAAAGACCAUUGAACAAAGA
Oncorhynchus keta (chum salmon) is the source of this 1411-nucleotide long non-coding RNA. RefSeq lists it as uncharacterized. The transcript is spliced from 2 exons. Lineage: Eukaryota; Metazoa; Chordata; Actinopteri; Salmoniformes; Salmonidae. The record is from RefSeq and is a predicted model, not a curated record.